Long non-coding RNA from Esox lucius (northern pike), 1596 nucleotides. Lineage: Eukaryota; Metazoa; Chordata; Actinopteri; Esociformes; Esocidae. The record is from Ensembl.
UGCCACCUUAAUGUGGUGGAGGGGUUUGAGUACCCGAGUGACCCUAGGAGCUAUGUUGUCUGGGGCUAUAUGCCCCUGGUAGGGUCUCCCAAGGCAAACAGGUCCUAGGCGACGGGUCAGACUAAGAGCGGUUCAAAAUCCUUUAAUGAUGAGAAUUUGAGGUCUGUGACGUCGCCCGGUAUGGCGCAGCCCGGGCCCCACCCGGGAGCCAGGCCCAGGUUUGGGGCUCGUAUGCGAGCGCCUGGUGGCCGGGCCUUUCCCCGUGGGGCCCGGUCGGGCUCAGCCCGAAGGAGCGACGUGGGGCCGCCUUCCCGUGGGCUCACCACCUGACCACCUUCCUGGGAAGGUGUUCCGGGCCCGUCCCACCGGGAGGAGACCCCGGGGAAGACCUAGGACACGCUGGAGAGACUGUCUCCCGGCUGGCCUGGGAACGCCUCGGUAUCCCCCCCGGAAGUGACCUGGUUUCAUAUAUGCCUAAAAGGACUUGCCUACAUCAAGGACUAUCUGGAGGAAGAACGUUCACAUCAGUCACCCAAUGGAUCAAGUGCUUCAGAUGACGAUGACCUCUUCAAGCAUGAAGACAACUCAUGGGCAGGAAAGUGUUAAACAGCUAGAAGGGUUCACUCCAAGUACCGUCGGACAGGGGCCAGCUUCAGCAAGGCCCAACAGGAGUUCUCCUCAGGGUUUCUCACCAACCAGACCUUCCAGAGCGCUGCAGCCACCGCCGCCUCGUAGGGUUGAACUUGAUGCAAGAUAUUAAGAGAUGCUAAGUUUUGGUUCAUAUGAUGAAGACACUGGGUGAUGGUUUAGCUCAAUGGGAAUUAAUGUAUACUCUAAUCUUGUCACUACUGUAUAAGAGAACCUUUCAUUCUUAGCUGAUUGUACCUUGUGAGUUGUGGCCCCCAGACUGUGGAAUAAACUGCCCAUUAUUAUCAGGUCACCCCCCCCCCCCCCCACGAGGCAUCGAAGUCUCGCCUCAAAAUGUGUUUUUAUACUUUGGCGUUGGAGUCGGUGUAGGGACAUUCGAGCUCAACAGUUUUGUGUGCUGCUCGUUUCUAUUCAUUGUUUAUUUUUAUUUUUUUUUGCAUAACUUUGGACAGCACUUUGUUCAGCAUUGGUUGUUUUUAAAUGUGCUUUAUAAAUAAAUUGACUUGACUUAUCCCCCUGUAGAUACUCCGGUUGGUCACUUUUAUUACUCGGCUGGGCUUUAAGUUAUGGGGGAUUGAUCCUGUUUCCCUUUAGAACUAUACAUUAGUUCUGUCAUUGUGGGUAGUGUGGUCAUUAUGAUACACCUAAAUGUUCUUUGCUGACACGGUUUACUGUAAUUUUAACCAAAUACUUGAAGACUAGACAUUAUUUCUGAUGUCACUUCAGCCUCACCGUCUGAAUAUGAAUAAUCUUCAGGAUCUUAGUGUUCUGAGUUUUUGCCUACUGGUUUACGUAUUUUAUUUGAACACAAUUUUUUGAGAAUCUGCAGAUGCCCCCAAGACUACCAGUAACAUUUUAACUAACCCAAACCAUUAUCUUAACUUUGACCCUCCCACUAAACCCGGUACCCAGGCAAACCUUAGCAAGCUAUUCCUUAUCAAUAGUUUG